RNAcentral lists this unclassified non-coding RNA (3671 nucleotides) under Nomascus leucogenys (northern white-cheeked gibbon). Its description in RNAcentral is "external transcribed spacer". The stretch from base 2069 to 2159 matches the Rfam family "mir-663 microRNA precursor family". The record is from RNAcentral. Lineage: Eukaryota; Metazoa; Chordata; Mammalia; Primates; Hylobatidae.
GCUGACACGCUGUCCUCUGGCGACCUGUCGCUGGAGAGGUUGGGCCUCUGGAUGCGAGCGGGACUCUGGCCUCCCGGUGACCCGGCUAGCCGGCCCUGCUCCCGCUUGAGCCGCCUGCUGGGGCCCGUGAGCCUGCGGCCCUCUCGUGCGUCCGAGCGUCCCGACUCCCCCCGGUGCCGGCCCGGGUCCGGGUCUCUGACCCACCUGGGGGCGGCGGGGAAGGCGGCGAGGGCUACCCUGCCCCCGUGCGCUCUCCGCUGCGGGCACCCGGGGCGGCCGUGACAACCCCCCCCCCACCCCGUUGGCUCCGUGCCGUUGCGUGUCAGGCGUUCUCGUCUCCGCGGGGUUGUCCGCCGCCCCUCCCCCCAGAGCGGGGAACGGCCGGGCUGGCCGGCUCGGCUCGCUGGCUGGCCGGCUGGCCGGCUCCCGCUCCUGGGGGCUCUUCGUGAUCGAUGUGGUGGCGUCAUGCUCUCCCGGGCAGGGUCCGAGCCGCGGCGACGGGCGAGGGGCGGACAUUCGUGGCGAAUGGGACCGUUCUUCUCGCUCCGCCCGCGGGGGCCCCUCGUCUCUCCUCCCCGCCUGCGGGUGGUGCGCUGGGGAAGGCGAGGGGCGCGGAACCCGGCCCGACCUCGCUGUCCCGUCCCUGCCUUCCGCCUCGCGGGGGCGGGUCGGCGGGGUCCUCUGACGCGGCGGGCACCCCUCGCUCUCGCCUCCUGUGGUUGUCGACUCGCGGGCGGCCCCCCUCCGCGGCGGUGGGGUGCUGUCCCGCCGGCCCGUCGUGCUGCCCUCUCGGGGUUCGCGCGAGCGUUGGCUCCGCCUGGGCCUUUGCGGUGCUCCUGGAGCGCUCCGGGUUGUCCCUCAGGUGCCCGAGGCCGAGCGGUGGUGUGUCUUUCCCGCCCCCGGCGCCCCCUCUUCCGGUCGCCGCCGCGGUGUCCGCGCGUGGCUCCUUGAGGGAGCUCGUUGGUGUCGGGGGGGUCGAGGCGGUGGAGUGAGACGCGCCCCUCCCACGCGGGGAAGGGCGCCGCGUGGUCCGGCGAGCGCACGUGUCCCGUGCUUCCCCCCCUGGCGGGUGCGCGCGGGGGCCGUGUGAGCGGUCGCGGUGGGCUCUCGGGCCGGUGACGCGUGCGCCGGCCGGCGGGCCGCCGAGGGGCUACCGUCCUGCCUCCGACCGGCCGUGUGUGGGUUGACUUCGGAGGUGCUUUGCCUCGGAAGGAAGGAGGCCGGUGGACGUGGGGGGGCCCCGGGGGGUCGCGCGCAUGCGCGCCGGCCGGGUCCCCCGCCCUGACCGCGAACGCUCGAGGUUGCCGCACGCGGGUGUGUUUCCUCUUACCGCGGGCCCCUCCCUCCCUCGCGUGGUCCCCGGGCGUCCCCGAGCGCCUCUGCGGACCCGACGAGGGGCGACUGGCGGGUGGGGAGAGUGACCCGCCCUCGGUGAGAAAGCCUUCUCUAGCGAUCCGAGAGGUUGUGCCUUGGGGUACCGGAUCCCCCGGCCCGCCGCCUCUCUCUGUGCGUUGAUGGUAGCGCUCGCCGUAGCGACCCGCUUGCGGCGGACCCUCCUCCGCUUCCCCCUCGACGGGGUGAGGGGGGGAGAGCGAGGGUUCCGCCGGCCCCCGACCGCGGUGGUGGGGGGCCGAGCGCGGCUCGUCGCCUACUGUGGCCCGCGCCUCCCCCUUCCGAGUCGGGGGAGGAUCCCGCCGGGCCGGGCCCGGCGUCCUUAGCGGUUCGGAGGCUGUGCCGCGAGCGGCGGGUGUGCGCGGCGUUCCGUCCGGCGCGUGUGACCCCUCUCCGCUGUCGAGCCGGCUGUCCGCCCGCUCCCGUGCCGAGUCGCGACCGGUGCCGGCGACCGCGUCUGCGUGGCAAGGGUUUGGGCCGCCUGGCCCCCGGAAAGCGUCCCACGGUGGGGGCGCGCCGGUCUCCCGGAGCGGGACCGGGUCGGAGGAUGGACGAGAAUCCCGGGCGACGCGGCCCUGGCGUCGGGUGUGUGGCUGUGGUCGCCUCGUGGGGUGGGGUUCCCGGUGGCCGGGGCCCCGGGUCUCGUGAGGAGGCGGGUCUCGGUGGGUGCCGAGGGCCGUCCGGCGUCCCAGGCGGUGCGCCGCGGGAACCGCCCUCGUGUCUGUGGCGGUGGGAUCCCGUGGCCGUGUUUUCCUGGUGGCCCGGCCGUGCCUGAGGUUUCUCCCCCGAGCCGCCCCUCCGCGGGCUCCCGGGGGCCCUCGCCCUCGCGGUCCCUGGCCCCCCUCGCCUCUCCGCGUUGGCGCGCCCCCUUCCCCGCCCGCCGCCUGCCGAGUCCCCUCUCCCCGAGCGGCUCACCGCCGGCUUUACCGUCGGUGGCGGCCCCGUCCGGGCCCGAACCCGGCACCGCCUCGUGGGGCGCCGCCGCCGGCCACCGGUUGGCCCGGUGUCCGCGUCCCCCGGCGCGUGCGCGCUUUCGGGGCCGGGUCGGUGGCGCGCCCCGGCUUGGGCCCGGUGGGCGCCCGGAGGGUUUUGGGGGUCGGCCCGCGGCGCGUGCGCGGGGAGGAGGGCGUUCCGGGGGGCUGGCCGCGACCGCGGCGGCGUUGGGGGGGGGCCCGCGGGGAUCCGCCGAGGGCCGGUCGUCCGCUCCGGGUGCCGCGCGCGGGGGGCCGCCUCCGUGCGUGUGCCCCCGGCCGCGGUCGGCUGCGCUCGACGGGUUCCCGCGGUGUCCCCCUCCCCCGCCGGCCGCCCUUCUCGCGCCUUCCCCGUCGCCUCGGCCUCGCCCCGGCGUUUCUCGUCUUCUCCCGUCCCGCUGUUCCGCCUCGGGUCGGUCGGCGCGGCCCCGGGUGCGCCUCGCUUCCCGGGCACGCCGCGGCCCUUCCCUGAGAGGCGUCUGUCCCGGGCGUCGGCGUCCGGGGAGAGCCCCUCCUCCUCCUCCCCCGCGUGGCGUUGCCCCGUUCGGCGCGCGCGUGCGCCCGAGCGCGGCCCGGUGGUCCCUCCCGGCCAGGCGUUCGUGCGAUGGGUGGCGCGAGGGUCGACCUCCGCCUCUGCCGGCCGCUCGCCCCCCUUUCCCCCGGGUCGGGGGGUGGGGCCCGGACCGGGGCCUCGGCCCCGGUCGCGGUCCCUCGUCCCGGGCGUUGGGGGGCGGGCGCGCCGCGGCCGGCUUCGGUCGGCCCUCCCUCCCUCGGCCGUCGCGUGGCGUGUGCCACCCCUGCCCCCGCGCCCGCCGGGGGGCGGGGCUCGGGGCCGGGCUUCGGCCGGGCCCCGGGCCUCGACCCGGACCGGUGCGCGGGUGCUGCGGCCGCACGGCGCGACUGUCCCCGGGCUGGGGCACCGCGGUCCGCCUCUCGCUCGCCGCCCGGACGUCGGGGCCGNNNNNNNNNNNNNNNNNNNNNNNNNNNNNNNNNNNNNNNNNNNNNNNNNNNNNNNNNNNNNNNGCGCGCGCGUCGGCCGCCGGUCCCUCGCGGCUGCCGGUCACACGGGCCGGGCGGUCCGCCUCCUCCUCGCACGCGGGCGCGUGAAGGGGGGUGGUGUGUGUGUCGGGUGGGUGUGUGCGGGUGGGGCGUCCGGUUCGCCGCGCCCCCACGCCCGCCCGCCCGGCCGCGCGCCGCCCUACCUCGCUCGCUCGCUCGCUCGCUCCCUCCCUCCCUCCCGGGCGCCGGGCCCGUCCUCGCGAGGCCCCCCGGCGUGGCGUCGUCGUCGGGGCCUCGCCGCGCUCCACC